UUUUAUACUUGUUCAUCAACAUAAGCAUAGUAGUAUAUUCCUUCUUUCUUCCUACUUUGAUGACAUUUUCUGCUGCUGCUUUUAAACAGAUGAUUCUUGGUUAUCAUUCUUCCGUCCUCGUGACUUCGACAUCUUACUUUUGGAUGCAGUCCUCUAUGUUCCAGGAAAUGAAGAAGCGCAGAAAACCAUUAAGAUUAGCAUCUCUGAUGACGUCCCUUCUCCUGCAUGUCAAACAUGCCCUACGUCUUCGGGGACUGGAAGUCCAGCAACAAUCACCUCAGAGGGGGGAGAAGAUGCCGAACUAGAAACCAAAAAUAUGGACUCCUGUUUCGCCAACAUGAAGGAAUAGAAGAUGAGAGUUAUACUCACAGAACCAAUGGUGGUGCAGCACGUGGUGCUAUUAAUCAGCCAAGAUGACCAUGGUUAAUCAAGGGGUCAAUUGACAAUUACAAGAACCAAGCUAGUGAUCAUGAUGAUAUUAAUUGAUUAUGAAAUCUUUGAUAGCUUUUGAUUUUUGUUUGAGUUGCUACUUACACGAACAUAUGAGUAAUUUAUAUAUAAUAAGUUAUCUGAGAAACCAUGAAUUUUGUUUUAGUUUAUUGGUUAAUAGACUUGUAACAAUUUAUGCCCAUGGGCAUGAAUAAUGUAUGAAUAAUUUUUCUUUUAGGUAUAAAAUUUGAAAUAUAUUUAUGUAAUUUUAAAUAUAUUAAUCUAUAUAUACUAUUACUAGACUA
This is a long non-coding RNA of Beta vulgaris subsp. vulgaris (sugar beet), 734 nucleotides long. RefSeq lists it as uncharacterized. The transcript has 2 exons. The record is from RefSeq and is a predicted model, not a curated record. Lineage: Eukaryota; Viridiplantae; Streptophyta; Magnoliopsida; Caryophyllales; Amaranthaceae.